CUACGUGCCAGCAGCCGCGGUAAUACGGAGGGUGCGAGCGUUAAUCGGAAUAACUGGGCGUAAAGGGCACGCAGGCGGCUAUUUAAGUGAGGUGUGAAAUCCCCGGGCUUAACCUGGGAAUUGCAUUUCAGACUGGGUAGCUGGAGUACUUUAGGGAGGGGUAGAAUUCCACGUGUAGCGGUGAAAUGCGUAGAGAUGUGGAGGAAUACCGAAGGCGAAGGCAGCCCCUUGGGAAUGUACUGACGCUCAUGUGCGAAAGCGUGGGGAGCAAACAGGAUUAGAUACCCUGGUAGUCCACGCUGUAAACGCUGUCGAUUUGGGGAUUGGGCUUUAAGCUUGGUGCCCGUAGCUAACGUGAUAAAUCGACCGCCUGGGGAGUACGGCCGCAAGGUUAAAACUCAAAUGAAUUGACGGGGGCCCGCACAAGCGGUGGAGCAUGUGGUUUAAUUCGAUGCAACGCGAAGAACCUUACCUACUCUUGACAUCCAUGGAAUCCUGUAGAGAUACGGGAGUGC
RNAcentral lists this ribosomal RNA (515 nucleotides) under uncultured bacterium. RNAcentral's name for it is "bacterial SSU rRNA". It matches the Rfam family "Bacterial small subunit ribosomal RNA", at positions 501 to 1017 of the family's 1533-position model. The record is from RNAcentral.